This 447-nucleotide ribosomal RNA is filed under the name uncultured bacterium. RNAcentral describes it as "bacterial SSU rRNA". It matches the Rfam family "Bacterial small subunit ribosomal RNA", at positions 355 to 825 of the family's 1533-position model. The record is from RNAcentral.
UCGGGAAUUUUGGGCAAUGGGCGAAAGCCUGACCCAGCAACGCCGCGUGAAGGAUGAAGUAUUUCGGUAUGUAAACUUCGAAAGAAUAGGAAGAAUAAAUGACGGUACUAUUUAUAAGGUCCGGCUAACUACGUGCCAGCAGCCGCGGUAAUACGUAGGGACCAAGCGUUGUUCGGAUUUACUGGGCGUAAAGGGCGCGUAGGCGGCAAUUCAAGUCAUCUGUGAAAUCUCCGGGCUUAACUCGGAACGGUCAGAUGAUACUGCUUUGCUAGAGUGCAGAAGGGGCAAUCGGAAUUCUUGGUGUAGCGGUGAAAUGCGUAGAUAUCAAGAGGAACACCUGAGGCGAAGGCGGGUUGCUGGGCUGAUACUGACGCUGAGGCGCGAAAGCUAGGGUAGCAAACGGGAUUAGAUACCCUUGUAGUCCCUGAGCGGGCUGGCAAGGCGCAU